RNAcentral lists this ribosomal RNA (245 nucleotides) under uncultured bacterium. RNAcentral's name for it is "partial 16S ribosomal RNA". It matches the Rfam family "Bacterial small subunit ribosomal RNA", at positions 524 to 770 of the family's 1533-position model. The record is from RNAcentral.
UACGAAGGGGGCUAGCGUUGUUCGGAAUUACUGGGCGUAAAGCGCGCGUAGGCGGUGAUCCAUGUCAGAGGUGAAAGCCUGGGCUCAACCCCAGAAUUGCCUUGAAACGGGAUCGCUAGAGUCCGAGAGAGGAUGGCGGAAUUCCUAGUGUAGAGGUGAAAUUCGUAGAUAUUAGGAAGAACACCGGUGGCGAAGGCGGCCAUCUGGCUCGGUACUGACGCUCAGGCGCGAAAGCGUGGGGAGCA